UGCUCUGUAUCGCUUUAAAACAAUAUGCAUUUAGCCAGUUAAUGAAUCUGGCCUUUAAUUGCAACUCUAUACACUAGCCUAUUUGAACAGCCCUCCCCCAGAUUCAUACACGAGUAUGUAUAUUGUGCUUGAUUGAGGGCAAGACCACGACAAGACACACGCUGUGUGCGCGGGCCUCAGUGGAGGGACCCAAAAUAGUAAGGUAGGCCUAUCAUAUGGGCACGCAAUUCAUUAAUUAAUAUCAACUAGCACGCGUGCGCGCACACACACACACACAUUCCAGCUUAUGUACGUAUUAUCUAAACUUAUUGUUUUACGCAGCAAUUAGGUUGUCUGUGCCUGAUAUAUGACAACACAUUUAUGUUAUUGAAAACACAUUCCAUUUUUAUUAGAUAUAUUUUAUUUUACUUUAAAGCUUAGAAGGUGCCCUCUCCACAGCAAUCUAAGCUACCCUGAAGAUUAAAGCAUCUUGGAAGUUAAAUAAAUCAAAGCAACAAAAAAAUUUAAAUCAUUUGGCCCCAGUUUUGUUCACAACUCACCUCGAAUUUUUUGUGUUCAUGGAAAACAUGUUUCAGACCCGAACGUUUAUUUCCUUUUAUAAAAUAUCUUGUUUGUCCAAGGAAACCAAAGCUAAAAUAUAUAUAUUAUUUCAAAUCUUACAAGUAUUCCGUGAACUAAAAAUGGCUGUUGGUUUGUUUUCAGUAAAUACGCUUUAUGCACAAUUUUGUGUUUUAGAGAUAGUGGUAGUUUGUUGAUUGUGGUUGUUUGUUUCAGCUGUGUGAUUUAUUACGAUUUAUUAUGAAUUUGCAUACCUAACACAGAAAACAAGAAAACUGAGAACCAUAAACAAUGGAGACAGCCGGUUGAUUUGUGGCAAAAUAAUCCAAUGUACAGGAGAAAAGCAGCGCGAGGAAUGACAUCUGAAACGAUGCAGUAUGACAGUGUCAACACCUGGAACUAGAAUGAGAAUACUAUCAACGCGUAAUAGAUCUUGGAGCGGCGGCCGAUAGUUCUUGAUGAAGUGACAUUUACAGCGUCACUUCGCAAGCGUUGUUGAUGAGAGACAAAGCAGUUUCUUCCCAUCCACAAGCUCAAGUGUGAUAAUACUGCUGACACCUGAACAGUACCAAAGAGUGAAAAUAAAUAAAUAUUUAUUUACAUGUCGUAAUAGUAUUUACAGGAAUAAAAACACGAUUUUCUUUUGCUAAUGGCUUGCUUAACAGAUUGAUAAAAUCAAAACACAACUAGCCCAUGGUUAACAUCAGGAAAUUAUUAUUAUUAUUAUUAUUAUUAUUAUUAUUAUUAUUAUUAUUAUUAUUAUUAUUAGAAAAUGAUCGUGUGCCCUACAACCUAUUUUAAAAUAAUUUAUAACAACAGAAGUAUCCUCUCAAAAAUAGGCUUACUGUAUACGCAUUUAACUUAUCGAUCUAAUGUAUAUUCCAAAAAAGUUAGGUAAAAUAAACAAACAAACUUUAAUGUCGAAAUGUUUAUAUUAGGCUACUUCAUGAACUUAUCCAUAGCCUACUGAUUAAACCUUAAAAUCUUAAGUAGGGCAUUCGCCCAACACCCAAACAAGAUAUACGAAAUAGCGAGAAAAUAUUUUUUACACAAAUUAGUUUGUUAGUGAUUUGUUUGGGAUGUUUGUUAUUGUGUAUACUGUUAAUCUGAAGAGGAUGUGAAUACAUCAUCUGUAAUUAAAUAUUUGAAUGAAAAUAGUUGCUAAAACGGCACUAAAGUAGCAGGUUUAGAAACAGUGUGACAAUAUUGCUAUUAUUCUGAAACAAACACAUAUGAGCUGGGAUAUAACUUCCAUAAUAACCCUGAUAACAUUAAGCGUAUUAAAAUAGGCUGCUCAUUUCGUAUGUAAUGUAAUUCUCUUUAACAAAAUAAAUCCGUUUUCCUCAAGGCCUUCAGCUUAAUGCAAAGUUUGUCCCACAAAAAAAUAGAAUUGAGGCGAUUGGAAGUAGCCUAAUGGAGGAUGAGGGAUUGAAGCGACGAUAGAAUAAGUAUUUAUUAUAUUCUGUUGAAUGGCAAUUUUGUUGACCAACUUGUUGCGCUUGCGAUAUCAGGAAUACCGUAGAGGAUGGCAGUAAAUAUCGCAGCAUUGAACAGGAUUAAGUCUAUGUCGUGGGACUUCUUUUGGAAUUGACACUUCUCCAAGCAUGAGUGGAAAUAUCCUACAAAAACACAAAUACUUGAAUUCAGUCCAACGGUAGGUUUCUAUGAGUUUAAGCACGUUUUAUUUCUUUCGUUUCCUACAUAACAUUAUGAGGGUUACAGGAAGGAAUAAAAAAUGUUGCGUAUGACUCAGAGCUUGCUUUAAUUCUAGUACACAGGACAUUGCGGUUGUAUGCGAUCUGGACCUAACCUAAGUAUAAAAAUGGCAGUAUAUUUAAAAAGCAUUCAUCAAGUGGCCACAGAUUUAGCUCUCCCCAUUUAAAGCUGUUAAAAAAAUAAUAAUUUUAAUGAUGACACCCAUAUGCCUAUAGGUUGGAGAAAACUUCCUUCAGAUGGAAGGAUCAUUGACCUUUGCCCUGAAUCUGACCUUUGAUGGUGGCUCUCUUUUGUUUUGUGUGCCACCUUUUACUCGCCGCAAAUCAAAGCCCAGCUCCCAUCACUUUCUGUUUCUACGAAUUGUAACAGACAGCACCUGUGAUGUUUAGAUAUGUGCAUGUCUUCACAUAAGCUCGGUCAUUACCCUGGUAUACAACGCAUCCAACCGUACCGUCUUCCCCCUCCAACCCUGUGCACUGCUAGUGUUUUGUUUUGUUUACUCCCGCGUGUGUUAUUAAUAUUCACCACCUCUCCGACUGGGUCUCUGCUGAACAUGUUGUACCCCAUAUGAGAUCAUGGAGGGGACCAGGCUUCUGAUGUGCUCCACAAUGCCACAGCGUAUUAGCAUCUCUUUAGCAUCAAACAAAACCUUGUGCUUUUCUCCCUGCGCACGCACAAAGGACAACAGGACAGAGAGGAGCUGCUCUGUAACGGAUCUCCUUUUACCCGAAUCUCUCCGCUAAACUCCCAACAAUGCCAAGAGCCGCGGGCCCAAACUCGGGGCCGAGCGGGCACAAAGGAACGGGGGGCUCUUCUGCGCCGACAAGUCCCCUGGCUGAACCAGCCUCUCUUUCCUCCAGUUCUGAAGAGGGAGGAACUUCAAAGUGGGUUCAGGUAAUUAGCAGCUGAAGGGAAUCUAAUCUAAACCAUCAGCCUUGCUUUGCACCCAGGUCUGCUGCCACAGCCCGCUAACUGGGGAGCGGCAAUUCCCCGUAGCUCCCAAAUCUGCUUCCUCUGAACCGCCGUGCCAGGCCUGCAGUUAUCACAUCUGCAUUUCAAACACACUGUCUCUGGCAUUAAUUAUUAAUUAGCCUACAGUCACCCCGGAGGAUCAGGAUUCAGACUGCACAUACUUAUUCAUUGACCUCUACUGUGGACUUCUUUUUUUUAUUCACUCCUUUCUACUAUAUGGGAAAUCCCCAGCCAGAAUACCUAAAACCAUGUUGGGGUUUUUUUUUUUUUUUUUUUUACACAAGGAUCUCAGUCCCUGCCCGUUUUAAGCCUUAAGCGCAUAUCUGUCCUGAGUCUGGUGCUGGAGGACGGUCUCCCGGAAGUUAAAAAGGCUGAGCAGACUGCUGCUUAUUUCCCUUGGUUCCUCAAAUGCCCACAACGCAGGGCUGGAGACAGAUGAUGAGUGUAUAACAAGUAUGCUCACUGAAAAUAUACAGGCAUAAACAACUAUAACAGCGUCUAUACAAUAUCACAUAUGAUACUGUACUAUAUACAGGCAUUUCUACUCACCAAACCAUAUGCCAACGCACAUGUGCACUUGGAAUAUAGUUUUCCAGCUCCUUGCCCUUAUCACAGUGUGUGAUGUGGUGGUUAAGGUUUAGCUGAAAGGAGAGGGGGGGGGGGGGGGUGUUCUGGGGCCAAGAUCAUCACUGGCUCAUGCCCAUUUCUACAAGAGACCCAGACCCCAUGCCUGAGGGGAGGAAAUGGAUUUCCCACACCGUUUAGUCCCGGGCUUGUGGGUCAGCAUUAGCAGACCAUGCCAUUUAAUGGGCACCUGCCUGAGGUUCUCUUUGUGGGGAACAGAUGCAUUGUGCCUGUACGGACAAAAAACUGUCAAAAGACUUCAUCGGCCACCUGGAGUUCUCUCCAAUAACCCAGAGUUGACUUCACUUCCCCUGGAGUAUCUGUGAUUGGUUUCUGUGCCUUUACCGGGUUACGCGAGAUUGGCUAGGAACGUAGCAGACAGAUACUUGAUGAAAAUAAUGGCUGAGGGACAUUUUAAUAGGCCAUUUUUCUUGAGAAAUUUGUGACUGCAAAUCAACUAACAAUAUGUCAUUUUAUGUUCUUUUGAAUUUCCAUUUGAAUGUACCUUUGAAUCUAAGUGAAAAUAAAAUGUUUCCAGUCAAGAA
Long non-coding RNA from Anguilla anguilla (European eel), 4415 nucleotides. RefSeq lists it as uncharacterized. The transcript has 2 exons. The record is from RefSeq and is a predicted model, not a curated record. NCBI's taxonomy places the organism in Eukaryota, Metazoa, Chordata, Actinopteri, Anguilliformes, Anguillidae.